Long non-coding RNA from Acipenser ruthenus (sterlet), 836 nucleotides. RefSeq lists it as uncharacterized. The record is from RefSeq and is a predicted model, not a curated record. NCBI's taxonomy places the organism in Eukaryota, Metazoa, Chordata, Actinopteri, Acipenseriformes, Acipenseridae. The transcript is spliced from 4 exons.
UUCGAAUAAAGGUAUGUUACGGCAGCUGGCAAUAGUUUGUUCCUCCCGUGGCCGUCCAGAAAGCUGGAACAAGAAGUCUCUGGUAAACAAGCCUAUCAGAGUUUAGGGAAGGGUUUUAAAAGUCCUCUGAGAACGGAGCACUCCAGGCUGGAAUGCUGUUGUUUUUAAACGCUGUAAUUAUUUUCUUUUGCUAGUCAGACGUGCGGCUUUUAUAUAAUUUACAUCUACGUUUGUUUGUUUAUUAAUUAUAUAAUAUAUGCUGUUUCCUGGAUACACGAUUAACCAUAACAUUUUUUUUAGAAGCAUAGGCUUCUAAAGAAGUUGUAGGACACAUGGUCUGGGUUUCUUGGAGUAAACUUCGCCUACAUUUUUUAAGAAUGUUAAUCUACAGCAUACUUUCCACUGUAUUUGAUGCUGGAGUGGGUGUGGAUUUAGAAUAAAAGCUGACAGAGGCUACACCUUCCUUAACCGAGGUAGCAAUGGAAUACUUCACACUUUGGAUUCAUUAAACUGGCUAAGCUGGAAUGUUGUUUUACCAACUGGCUCACAAUACAUUAAAGGGAAGUUAAGCAAAUCUAAAGAAGUGGCAGCACCAUGCAUGUAAUCAGGUACAAGGGUAAGGCAAGUACAAUGGUGGCUGGCACACAAAGAGCAUGAAUCAAACUGCAGGUGCAGUACUUAUGUCUUUUAAAUGUUGUACAGAGUGAGGUAUCUUAACUCCGUUAAUAAACACUCCUUAAUUUGCUUUGCAAUUCAAUACUACUGAUGAACUCACUGAUUCAAAAUAAUCCAAGCCCCUCCUUUCAAGAGGAUAUUUUCCGUUUGUGACACACACA